AACGGGUGAGUAACACGUGGACAACCUGCCUCAAGGCUGGGGAUAACAUUUGGAAACAGAUGCUAAUACCGAAUAAAACUUAGUGUCGCAUGACACAAAGUUAAAAGGCGCUUCGGCGUCACCUAGAGAUGGAUCCGCGGUGCAUUAGUUAGUUGGUGGGGUAAAGGCCUACCAAGACAAUGAUGCAUAGCCGAGUUGAGAGACUGAUCGGCCACAUUGGGACUGAGACACGGCCCAAACUCCUACGGGAGGCUGCAGUAGGGAAUCUUCCACAAUGGGCGAAAGCCUGAUGGAGCAACGCCGCGUGUGUGAUGAAGGCUUUCGGGUCGUAAAGCACUGUUGUAUGGGAAGAACAGCUAGAAUAGGAAAUGAUUUUAGUUUGACGGUACCAUACCAGAAAGGGACGGCUAAAUACGUGCCAGCAGCCGCGGUAAUACGUAUGUCCCGAGCGUUAUCCGGAUUUAUUGGGCGUAAAGCGAGCGCAGACGGUUUAUUAAGUCUGAUGUGAAAGCCCGGAGCUCAACUCCGGAAUGGCAUUGGAAACUGGUUAACUUGAGUGCAGUAGAGGUAAGUGGAACUCCAUGUGUAGCGGUGGAAUGCGUAGAUAUAUGGAAGAACACCAGUGGCGAAGGCGGCUUACUGGACUGCAACUGACGUUGAGGCUCGAAAGUGUGGGUAGCAAACAGGAUUAGAACCCUGGUAGUCCACCACCGUAAACCAAUGAACACUAGGUGUUAGGAGGUUUCCGCCCUCUUAGUGCCGAAGCUAACGCAUUAAGUGUUCCGCCUGGGGAGUACGACCGCAAGGUUGAAACUCAAAGGAAUUGACGGGGACCCGCACAAGCGGUGGAGCAUGUGGUUUAAUUCGAAGCAACGCGAAGAACCUUACCAGGUCUUGACAUCCUUUGAAGCUUUUAGAAGAUAGAAGUGUUCUCUUCGGAGACAAAGUGACAGGUGGUGCAUGGUCGUCGUCAGCUCGUGUCGUGAGAUGUUGGGUUAAGUCCCGCAACGAGCGCAACCCUUAUUGUUAGUUGCCAGCAUUCAGAUGGGCACUCUAGCGAGACUGCCGGUGACAAACCGGAGGAAGGCGGGGACGACGUCAGAUCAUCAUGCCCCUUAUGACCUGGGCUACACACGGCUACAAUGGCGUAUACAACGAGUUGCCAACCCGCGAGGGUGAGCUAAUCUCUUAAAGUACGUCUCAGUUCGGAUUGUAGUCUGCAACUCGACUACAUGAAGUCGGAAUCGCUAGUAA
Molecule: ribosomal RNA, 1254 nt
Filed under: Leuconostoc mesenteroides subsp. dextranicum
Lineage: Bacteria; Bacillati; Bacillota; Bacilli; Lactobacillales; Lactobacillaceae
Description: bacterial SSU rRNA
Rfam family: Bacterial small subunit ribosomal RNA
Source: RNAcentral